AGAGAAUAGAUACCCAGGUAGUCCACGCCGUAAACGAUGGAUGCUAGCUGUUAUCAGUAUCGACCUGGUAGUAGCGAAGCUAACGCGUUAAGCAUCCCGCCUGUGGAGUACGAGCGCAAGCUUAAAACAUAAAGGAAUUGACGGGGACCCGCACAAGCGGUGGAGCGUGUUGUUUAAUUCGAUGGUAAGCGAAGAACCUUACCCAGGCUUGACAUCCUGCCAAGUUCUCCGAAAGGAGAGUGUGCCUUCGGGCCGCAGUGACAGGUGAUGCAUGGCCGUCGUCAGCUCGUGUCGUGAGAUGUUUGGUUAAGUCCAUCAACGAGCGCAACCCUUAUAGUUAGUUGUAUUUCUCUAGCUAGACUGCCCUGGUAACAGGGAGGAAGGGGGGGUAGUGAUGUCAGGUCAGUAUUUCCCUUACGUCUGGGGCUACAAACACGCUACAAUGGCCG
Molecule: ribosomal RNA, 449 nt
Filed under: uncultured bacterium
Lineage: Bacteria
Description: bacterial SSU rRNA
Rfam family: Bacterial small subunit ribosomal RNA
Source: RNAcentral